CAGAUACGGGACCUUCGAGGGCUUCGAGGGCUUCGAGGACUCCUCAAAAGAUCGAACGACGCGAGAGAAAAAGAGAUAUAUUCGUCAUUGCUGUAGUAUUCGAAAUUGAUACAUCUCGAAAUUUGAAUCGAGAUACGUAAUUGCGAAAAAAGAUUAAUUAAUUACAAAUGAAAGAGGAUGCUAUCACAUGACAAUUGGAAUUUCGGAAAAGUCACACGACCAACCAGAAUCAUUUAGAUUUAACACAUUAUACAAACAAAUGAUUCUGAAUCGUCGUUAUUACUUUUCUGAAAUUCCGAUUGUCAUGGGGAAGCACUUUAAGACAUAUAAGAAGUACUUACAUACGAGAUAAAGGUAAAGAAAAUCGCCUCAGUCUGCCAUAGCGAUAAAGAAUGUGCUCUCUUUAUUAAAUUUUCGUUUUUUAUAACUACACAGAAAUGAAUAACAUACGGAAUAAUUAAACGACUGUACAAACGCGCGAAAACAAUUUCAAGUUUGCGUUGCUGUAUUCAUAUUCAUAACAUAUUCAUAAGCAACAUGACGGGACGCAUUCACGCAUCGCGAGGUCUGGAAUGAAGUUGCGCGCGGAACUUCCGCCCCCGUUGCUCUCAUGAUUGCUCUCGCAUUCAAGCGCGGGCACGUUUCCAAAAUUUAAAUGUCUGGAUCAAGAAUGAAAUGUAAGUGGCAUGAAAUUAAACGCUUACGGAGGGACAGGGUUAAAAAAAAAGUCUUUGGCAGUUGGUUUUAAUGAAUUCGUUUCCUUCUCUCAUUUAUUGAGGAUAACUUUUUGAAUGUCACCUUAGGCAAACUUGGCCCGAUUCAGCCGGGUCCCCCGGAUCGCGCCGCCAACUUCAACCCGCGACCUAUUUGCGGAUAGCUUCGAGUCACGAGACAUGUGUCUCUAGAAUAAAUUAAAAAAGGAAAUGAAAAAAAAAUAGAUAGGAAAGAAAGAAAAAUACGAAGCGGAAGGUGAGUUCAUCGGUUAGGAGGCGAGUCUCGAAGGCCUCUAUUCAAUCGCCGCAGACGAAUUACGCGAAUCAUUCCUUCACGCUACAGACGUCCUUCUCAUGCCGAAUACAAUACAUUCUUCAACGCGAUUAUACAUCGUAUGAUACUUCGACGGAGGGAAUUUACACUCUGACGAAAAUAAAGACGUGGAGUGUAAGUCUGGUGUAAAGAAAGAGAACAUAAAUGAAACUUCUGGGAAGCAUAAAUUAGAAUAGCGUUAAAAAAAAGUGUUUUAAAAGUUAAAUUCCUUUUAGGAUAAGAUGGUACAAUUUCAAACGUAGUACAAUUCUGAAUGAAAUAAAAUUUGAAUCCAACUUUUGAGAUUUAAGUUUGGUAAUUCUUUCAUUGUAUGGAAGGUACUGAAGGAUAUUAAACAGGAAAAGAUUAAUCUUGAACCUCAAAAAUUAAAUUCAAAUCUUAUUUCGUGCAAAAUUGUACCACAUUCGAAAUUGUACAACCUUAUCCGUCGUUUUAAUUUAUGCUUCCUAAAAAUUCCUGUCGCUCUUCCCUUAUAUUCGAAACUCUAAUCUUUUAAUUUCGCCAUGAGAUACCCCAGAAUAUUCAUUAGUAUAAGUGUGUCAUGUUCAUAAUCUCUUAUUUUGUCCUUCAGGCAAUGAAACGCGGUGAAGGACGUGUGGCGUAAAUCUGAAGGACACGUUUCCUCGCUGCGACGACAGAAAUGACCUCAAAGAACAGCCUUGAGCACAAGGGAGAAGCUUUUUCGGGCGCGACCGGGGAAUAUUUGCAAGAUUACGUGAGAGCGGUAGUUUACAUUACUUCCUUUCCUUCUCUUUCUCUCUCUCUCUCUCUCUCUCUCUCUCUCUCUCACACUUUUUCUCUUCGUCUCUCGCUGUGUAAACGUCGGCUAUUAUUUCUCUAAAUCCUUACAAACUAGAAUUAUUAUGUACAGCAUUGUGGACACGAUUUCCGACUUUCACUUAUUGUUAAUCGGCCAUUCCUCCUAGGAGCACGAUUAGCACACGGGCUUACUCGUCUCAUCGGCGCAUCGCACGAUAUAUGAUAAGUCAACGACGGAGGAAGCUUUCCUCCCUUUUUCUUAACGACAAUCGUUCGGACGUUACUUUAUGAUUUUGGACAAGAGCCAUUGUGAAGAGCAUGUGGAUGUUAACUGAUUAGAUGCACACUAAUUAAUAUUGAUUGAAAAUAUAUCAAUGUUUCCUUUUUCAAUUUUAAAGCAAAGAAAGAUUCAUAGGAAUGUAAGAGUUGACUUAUUUGCAAUUUCUGAUUCUGUAACGAAUCAGAAAAACUCCCACUAGGAUAAUCACUUGAUUACGUAUUACCUUUUUUACAUACAAGAUUGUAAAUACGUAAAAAAGAAUAUUGUUUUUACUGAGCUCUAUUCAACGGCUCUAAUUGUCCCUCGCAAUAUAAUUGCGCUAAUUACAUGUGUAGGCGAAAAACGCCUACCUUGUGUGCAGUUGAAAAAUGAAAACGUUUUUACUGAAAGAAGACUGUCCCUCCACAUAAGUAAAUUCGCAAACGCAAUAGCCAAUUAAAAACGAUCAAUAUCAUUGAUGAUUUCUGAUUGACUGCUGCGUUUGCAAAUAACGUUUUACGAUUGUGACUUAUGUAAAAAGAUUUUUAAACGAAAUCUAAUUUUGUUUUUUCUUUUUUCUCUAUCUUUCUUUUCUUCUUUUAGUUUCUCCUUUUCUCAACUACAAGGCUUGAUCAUUACACGAAAAUGAACAUCGACGUGAUAAAAUAGACAAGCCACUCCAUUCUCUCUUUCUUUUUCUUCUACAAUAAGAAUUAAAAAUAUUCCUGCCGUAUCGUGAGAGAACGUGCAGCAUCGCAAUUUUAUCGCGUCGGAUAAUUCGAUCGCAGUUCAAUUGUACGAAUACAUAACGUCGAAAAACAUUUUCACAACAAUAUAAUGUGAUCUUUGCAACUAUAUUAUAUGAUCGUCGUUAGAUUUGUUAUACACACGCGUAUACGAUGUCGACACACGCACGUUACAAAAAAAAGAGAUGGCAGACGUGUCAUUGCGCAUACAUAAAUCUCAUUUUCGCAAUAGAGCGAUACGAAUAUCCUAAUAACAAGAUUAAUUCAAUUUACUAAGUCAAUAUUUCUACGCUUCUCUCUCUCUCUCCCUCUCUCUCUCUCUCUCUCUCUCUCAAUUUUUUGCAAAUUCCAUUAAUUGUUGACUACUCUCUAUAGCGAGAGAUGCGACACUUCUAAUCUCUUUCUUAUUUUUUCUCUUAUUCCGUUGUCAUUGGACGAGAUAUAAAAACGUUCAAUUCGUAAUUCAUACUUAACACUUGUGGCAUACUUAAUUCAGGUUUAACUUAAGUUGAUCAUUAUCUUAAAAAAAGGGAAAAAAGAAGUAUGAUUGAGACAAUCAUCACUGAGCGAACACUUUGAUCCCACGUGGCAUCCACUGAACAAAGUACAAUUGGUGCGUAUUGUCGAACGAAAUGUUGUACAUGUGUAUUUAAUUGGACAUGGGUGAUUGCGCGCAAUCAUACAUCUUACAGAGGCAUCCGAUGCGCGUGUUUUAUGUCUGUAUGUUUAUGUCUGUGUGUUUUAUGUGUAUGGGUGCGUUAUACGCGCGUCUUUUGUACGCAUUCAACUAUGCAUAAGUCCGUGCACGCAGUAAUUAUUCUCAUUUGGUUUCUUUUGGCAUUACAAAAUAAUCUUAUUUACAGUCUGUUGAUAUAAUAUCAAUAUUCAUACUUCUUUAUACUAAAUUACGCGUAAUUAGAGCAUAUUAUAUUUAUUUACUAUAUUAUGCAGGUAGGGAACUAUUUACAGAAUAAUAAAAUGAUAAUAUAAAUAUACCGUUGGGUAUCGUCGAACAGAUAUUUUACUGCAUGUGUGUACGUGUAAGUGUAGAUUCGAGUGAGUGAGUGAGUGAGAGUGUGUGUGUGUGUGUGUGUGUGUGUGUGUGUGUGUGUGUGAGAAUAUGUCGUUUAUAUGCGUCUACUAUAUUUGCUUCUUCUCAAUUUGAAUCGAUCGUUUCGUUGUAGAGACAUUCGGUCGUGAAUUUAUCUCGUGGAACAAUCAGUAACAAGAAAAAAAAGCAUCGGUCAGUGUAAUUUUUGAUGGAGCGAAUCAUCGGAACUGGAGGAUUUGAGAAAUCUGUCAUUGUGAAAUAUGAAUGGAUAUCUCAUUUCUCUACAUAUUGCAUCGUUUCGUGAUGCGUGUAAAAAGAAACGAAAGAGAAAAUAUCAAUUAAAACACAGCCGGAAAUAAGGCAUUAAAUGCAUAACAUAUUCGAAGUUUGUCUCUUAAUUGUAAUAACAUAAUAGCCUACUUUAAUUAAAAAAAACCUAGAAUAAUUUGCAUACUAUGAUAGUAUGUUACAAGUAUGCAAUUUUUUACCUAACUAUAUCCCGAACGUUAAACGAUUCAUCUUUAUAUCGCUAUCGCGUAUUCGGGCUGUUAUAAUAAUCUACUUAAAAUUCUCAUUGGAUGUAGCUACUUAAAUUAAAUCCUGAUUUUGCCAAAUUUUUCUCUUCAACGAAUCAACCUCGACGGUCAAUUUACAGGCCAA
Acromyrmex echinatior (Panamanian leafcutter ant) is the source of this 4522-nucleotide long non-coding RNA. NCBI's taxonomy places the organism in Eukaryota, Metazoa, Arthropoda, Insecta, Hymenoptera, Formicidae. The record is from RefSeq and is a predicted model, not a curated record.